This 458-nucleotide ribosomal RNA is filed under the name uncultured bacterium. Its description in RNAcentral is "bacterial SSU rRNA". It matches the Rfam family "Bacterial small subunit ribosomal RNA", at positions 29 to 524 of the family's 1533-position model. The record is from RNAcentral.
AACGAACGCUGGCGGCAUGCCUAACACAUGCAAGUCGAACGGGAUCCUAGCUUGCUAGGUGAGAGUGGCGGACGGGUGAGUAACACGUGGGAAUCUGCCUUUUGGUUCGGGAUAACCGCGGGAAACUGCGGCUAAUACCGAAUGCCCUCGUGAGAGGAAAGAUUUAUCGCCAGAAGAGGAGCCCGCGUCCGAUUAGGUAGUUGGUGGGGUAAAGGCCUACCAAGCCGACGAUCGGUAGCUGGUCUGAGAGGAUGAUCAGCCACACUGGGACUGAGAUACGGCCCAGACUCCUACGGGAGGCAGCAGUGGGGAAUAUUGGACAAUGGGGGCAACCCUGAUCCAGCAAUGCCGCGUGAGUGAUGAAGGCCUUAGGGUUGUAAAGCUCUUUUGCCAGGGAAGAUGAUGACUGUACCUGGAGAAUAAGCCCCGGCUAACUUCGUGCCAGCAGCCGCGGUAAU